CUGCCAGAUAGGACAGCUCGGGCGGGUGAUUCGGCACUUUAUAGGUGUAGUCCUUCUUCUUGCUCCGGCGUUCUUCACGCCACUGGCGGA
RNAcentral lists this transfer RNA (90 nucleotides) under compost metagenome. Its description in RNAcentral is "tRNA-Ile". The record is from RNAcentral.